GACGAACGCUGGCGGCGUGCUUAACACAUGCAAGUCGAACGGAAAGGCCCUGCUUUUGUGGGGUGCUCGAGUGGCGAACGGGUGAGUAACACGUGAGUAACCUGCCCUUGACUUUGGGAUAACUUCAGGAAACUGGGGCUAAUACCGGAUAGGAGCUCCUGCUGCAUGGUGGGGGUUGGAAAGUUUCGGCGGUUGGGGAUGGACUCGCGGCUUAUCAGCUUGUUGGUGGGGUAGUGGCUUACCAAGGCUUUGACGGGUAGCCGGCCUGAGAGGGUGACCGGCCACAUUGGGACGGGGAUACGGCCCAGACUCCUACGGGAGGCAGCAGUGGGGAAUAUUGCACAAUGGGCGGAAGCCUGAUGCAGCAACGCCGCGUGCGGGAUGACGGCCUUCGGGUUGUAAACCGCUUUCGCCUGUGACGAAGCGUGAGUGACGGUAAUGGGUAAAGAAGCACCGGCUAACUACGUG
Molecule: ribosomal RNA, 468 nt
Filed under: uncultured bacterium
Lineage: Bacteria
Description: partial 16S ribosomal RNA
Rfam family: Bacterial small subunit ribosomal RNA
Source: RNAcentral